This 502-nucleotide ribosomal RNA is filed under the name uncultured bacterium. Its description in RNAcentral is "partial 16S ribosomal RNA". It matches the Rfam family "Bacterial small subunit ribosomal RNA", at positions 29 to 523 of the family's 1533-position model. The record is from RNAcentral.
AUUGAACGCUAGCGGCAUGCCUUACACAUGCAAGUCGAACGGCAGCGGGGGAGCUUGCUCCCGCCGGCGAGUGGCGAACGGGUGAGUAAUACAUCGGAACGUACCCAGUAGCGGGGGAUAGCCCGGCGAAAGCCGGAUUAAUACCGCAUACGCCCUACGGGGGAAAGGGGGGGAUCGCAAGACCUCUCACUAUUGGAGCGGCCGAUGGCUGAUUAGCUAGUUGGUGGGGUAACGGCCUACCAAGGCGACGAUCAGUAGCUGGUCUGAGAGGACGACCAGCCACACUGGGACUGAGACACGGCCCAGACUCCUACGGGAGGCAGCAGUGGGGAAUUUUGGACAAUGGGCGAAAGCCUGACCCAGCAAUGCCGCGUGUGCGAAGAAGGCCUUCGGGUUGUAAAGCACUUUUGUCAGGGAAGAAAUCGUUUGGGUUAAUACCCCGAGCAGUUGACGGUACCUGAAGAAUAAGCACCGGCUAACUACGUGCCAGCCGCCGCCGUAA